Molecule: small nuclear RNA, 135 nt
Filed under: Alligator mississippiensis (American alligator)
Lineage: Eukaryota; Metazoa; Chordata; Crocodylia; Alligatoridae
Description: U4 spliceosomal RNA
Rfam family: U4 spliceosomal RNA
About the family: U4 small nuclear RNA (U4 snRNA) is a component of the major U2-dependent spliceosome. The structure of U4 snRNA from yeast and human has been reported. U4 snRNA presents a k-turn RNA motif in the 5p-SL related to recognition of Snu13 protein.
Source: Rfam by way of RNAcentral
AGCUCCGUGCGGUGGCGGUAUCAUAGCCAAUGAGGUUAAUCCGAGGCACAAUUAUUGCUAAUUGAAAACUUUACUCUUUCACACAAUAGAAGAACUAAUGGGUCACAAAAUGAAACUAGUGGGUAGUAAGUUUAA